AAAGUGCAAGUCGAGCGGUAGAGAGGUGCUUGCACCUCUUGAGAGCGGCGGACGGGUGAGUAAUGCCUAGGAAUCUGCCUGGUAGUGGGGGAUAACGUUCGGAAACGGACGCUAAUACCGCAUACGUCCUACGGGAGAAAGCAGGGGACCUUCGGGCCUUGCGCUAUCAGAUGAGCCUAGGUCGGAUUAGCUAGUUGGUGAGGUAAUGGCUCACCAAGGCGACGAUCCGUAACUGGUCUGAGAGGAUGAUCAGUCACACUGGAACUGAGACACGGUCCAGACUCCUACGGGAGGCAGCAGUGGGGAAUAUUGGACAAUGGGCGAAAGCCUGAUCCAGCCAUGCCGCGUGUGUGAAGAAGGUCUUCGGAUUGUAAAGCACUUUAAGUUGGGAGGAAGGGUACUUACCUAAUACGUGAGUAUUUUGACGUUACCGACAGAAUAAGCACCGGCUAACUCUGUGCCAGCAGCCGCGGUAAUACAGAGGGUGCAAGCGUUAAUCGGAAUUACUGGGCGUAAAGCGCGCGUAGGUGGUUCGUUAAGUUGGAUGUGAAAUCCCCGGGCUCAACCUGGGAACUGCAUCCAAAACUGGCGAGCUAGAGUAUGGUAGAGGGUGGUGGAAUUUCCUGUGUAGCGGUGAAAUGCGUAGAUAUAGGAAGGAACACCAGUGGCGAAGGCGACCACCUGGACUGAUACUGACACUGAGGUGCGAAAGCGUGGGGAGCAAAACAGGAUUAGAUACCCUGGUAGUCCACGCCGUAAACGAUGUCAACUAGCCGUUGGGAGCCUUGAGCUCUUAGUGGCGCAGCUAACGCAUUAAGUUGACCGCCCUGGGGAGUACGGCCCGCAAGGGUUAAAACUCAAAUGAAAUUGAAGGGGGGCCCGCACAAGCGGUGGAGCAUGUGGUUUAAUUUCAACCAACGCGAAAAACCUUACAGGCCUUGACAUCCAAUGAACUUUUCCAGAGAUGGAUUGGUGCCCUUCCGGGAACUUUG
RNAcentral lists this ribosomal RNA (992 nucleotides) under Pseudomonas sp. Its description in RNAcentral is "bacterial SSU rRNA". It matches the Rfam family "Bacterial small subunit ribosomal RNA", at positions 52 to 1031 of the family's 1533-position model. Lineage: Bacteria; Pseudomonadati; Pseudomonadota; Gammaproteobacteria; Pseudomonadales; Pseudomonadaceae. The record is from RNAcentral.